UGAGAUGUGAGCAUGAUGGGACAGAGAAAAGGGGCCAGGACCAGAAGAUCUGUGGGGUGGGUGAGGGAUAUGCUGCCAAGAAUCAGGCGCAUUCACUCAGUGGAACCCAGAAGCCAGAAAGAUGCUGGAGGAUGUGCUCCAGCAAAACAAGCAGGUAAACCAAGAAAGAGGAGGACCUGGGGUGCAGGAAGCAGGGGACCUAGCCCUACAGAGAGGCCAAGAGAAGCUCCAAGAAGGAAGAGGGAGCUCCUGCCACUCGCCUGCCAUUGUGGUGCAGAACGGGGCACAGGCAGAGGCCAGCGGCAGGAAGACUCAGAAGACUGGGCAAUGUGGGUAUUUAACAAAUGGAAGAAGUCCCUGUAUGGUAGGUGCCCUGGAGGCAGAAAUCCUGGGCCUGAGGAGCCAGUGGGAGCCCGUCUCUCUUCUGCGGUCACUCUUGUCAAAUUAUGUCAGCUGGAUUUGUUCAUAGAAUAUGGCUUCCAAAAGAAUAGCAGCCACAGGUGCUGGGCUGGAGGGAAGAGAUCAUGACCCGACUAAGUGGCGGUCCUCAGGCAGUUUGGAGAAGGGAAAGAUCUUUCAAGAAUGAAAGUGAAAUAAAGCCUGAGGGAGUUCAAUGCCAUCGAAUUGAAAGGAAUUCCGCAAAAUGUAUCUCAGGGAGAAGGAAAGUGAUCUCAGCUGAAGGCUUGAGGUGGAAGAAGGAAUGAAGGAGACAGAGAGCACUUGUGAGGGUUCCUGACAAACCAGCUAAGCAAUUCCCCACUACCCGUGAAUCCUUGCAUAUCUUUACCUCAGAGCACUUCUCUGGACGCACAAAGUGGGUGACCAGGUCUGACAUGAUAUCACAAGUCAGUGGACCAGUAUGCUGCUCUGCAGAAGUUAAUACAGUCCAGCUGCUGUCCUGCAGACCAUCCUAUAGCAGAGAGCAGGAGGAUCAACACGGCCCUGGGGCAACACCCUGAAUGUUUACUUUUGUCCACCAUACGUGAAUGUGAGUUUGUCCUCCUUGUGAUGGGUGUGGAAGAGACGAAAUUUACCAGAUCCAUAGCUACAUGCCAUGUCCUGAAGCCUGUCUUAACCUGCUCUAACAAAGAAGCUCUGCAUGACGCAGUGGCUGCAACUGGGCUACUGCAUGGUCAAGUUUGUGGUAGUCCACUGCCAUCCACCAUGAUCCAUGUGAUCUUUGCAGGAAAGGGUGGUUUGUUAUACAGCAAUAGAUCAAUGAGACAACAACCAAAGCUGUCUAGAAGCACCCUCCCUGCAAUCUUGGCAGGUAGGAGUGAUCCCUCAUUUUGCCCCAUUCACGUAAGGGUCUGCAGAGCUCCAGACGUGGUAAAGCAACCACAGCUGGCUUCCCUGUGAUCCAUCAGCAGGACAGAAGGAAACUAGGGGAUGCAGUCUCCACCCAGAGUCCUAGGCUGCUGGGAGGACUCCGGCUGGGUGUGGGGUCCCUGCCCACCCCUGAGAGGGGUCUGAUACUAAGUAGCCAAGGAACACUUGCGCUGUCUUUGCUCCCCACCCCAAUCCCACAGUGCUGGCUCUGAGUUGGGUCCCGUAUUUAAUCCUGUUCUGGGGGCCUGCAGGGCUCUCCUCGAUCCUUCCCAGCUCUUAUGAACUCUCUAACAGUACCAUCAGGCCUGUAAUCCAAGUUUAAAGAUUCCUGGCCCUACAUUGGUCUUGCACAGACCUGGUGCAACGAUGGGUCAAUCUUCUGGCUUCGAUCUUCUUCCCCAGUGCCACCCUGUGCCCAGGGCCAGGGCCAGCCACCUGCCUGGGGCCAGAUGGCAGAAGGGCCACCUGUAUCUCCACCCGCCCUCAAGGUCCUGCGAGAGUGGAGUGUGCCAGCCUCUCAGUACUCUCUCAGGGCAGAGUUUGGGCCCAGUGGCAACAGACGACCUCAACUCUUGGGCUCACUGGGGUAACAAGAUGUGAGUUUCUUUCCAUUGUGUUUUAGGAACAGUGAAAGCAAAAGGCAGGCUUUCAAAGCAGAGAAGAUUCACAGGCUGUUCCAUGUCCUUGUCCCUUGCAGCAGGUGCGCAGCCUGGUCUGGGAAGGGGUGCACAGACCUCAGGGUUCCUAGCCUAGUGCAGUGGACAAGCAGCCCUUUCUUGCUGACUGCUCCUCAUGAGAAGGGAAAAUCGGCCUCUCUGAUGGGGAUCCUCCCAAGGAGCUGUGAACACAACCGCACUUCCUGUGGGAAGCUUCUUGCACACAUUUCUAGUCUCCAGCAGCAAAGGACCCACACUCUGUGUUCCAAAAUCUUCUUUGGAGCAAGCCCCAAGACCCAAUGUUGACUGCCAGAGAAGCAGGACCCUAAACAACACUUGGCAGAGGUUCUUGCCACUAAGACCCCCUUCCCUUCCGGAAAGAACACCAAGAUCUUAUGAAAUAGGGUGCCCAGGAAGGCUGGGUUAAAAACCAAUUUCCUGCUGGUAUUUCAUAAGCAAGAUUUUCAGACUUCACAUAAUGCCGUGGAAGUUUGGUUCUCAGCCUGGUGCUGGAGCACCCAGCCAUGUGCUGAGCAUUCUCCUCGAAGGUGGGACUCCAGUCUCUGUGUGCUCUCUGAAAUGUGGCUUCUGCAGUGUCCCUGGCCAUACUCCAUUCUUUAAUGUGAAUUAGUUGUCAGGUAAUAAAUACUUACUAAUCAAUGGCUUCAAGCCACCAGGGCGUAAGCCAGGCCAGAUGCCAACAUAACACAUAACACCAAGCAGUGAGGGGGUCAUGGCUUUGGUCUGGAGUGAUGGUUUUAGUUGCAGGAGUAGCUGACUACUUCUUCCAGAUGCAAAAUCUUGAUCACAUCCCCACAAUGUGGCCCAACUGGGGAAAACAAUGAAGGUAGAGGCUGCUUCCUGUGGGUCACAGAAUCUGUGGGUGACAGAGGGCAGGAACCUCUUCCUGCAGCUUGUUCUUUAUUGGUUGAAUUACACACCAAACCUCCUCCACACCCCUUGGCUUCUCCAGCAAAUGGAUGCCUCUGGGCUUGCUCAGUCGAGGUUCAGCCAAGUCCAGCUGUCUGGCUCUGCCACAGAAUACGAUGUCAUCAUCUCCAAAUUGGACAAGAGAGACUGAAGCCCAGAAAGCAAAUGACUUGCCUAAGAUCAUAGGGCUUAUUAGUGACAGGUCAGGACCCACCAGCUAUUCCCUGGCCCUGCACUUGGUCCUCUGCUCCAUUGAGGACAUAUUUAAAAUACGUCCAUAUUUAAAAAGAAUAGGUUCCUUG
Molecule: long non-coding RNA, 3217 nt
Filed under: Equus caballus (horse)
Lineage: Eukaryota; Metazoa; Chordata; Mammalia; Perissodactyla; Equidae
Description: lncRNA (ENSECAG00000051969.1)
Source: RNAcentral